UACGUAGGUCCCGAGCGUUGUCCGGAUUUAUUGGGCGUAAAGGGAGCGUAGACGGCAUGGCAAGUCAGAUGUGAAAGCCCGGGGCUCAACCCCGGGACUGCAUUUGAAACUGGUGGUCUUGAGUGGAUGAGAAGUACGCGGAAUGCGUGGUGUAGCGGUGAAAUGCAUAGAUAUCACGCAGAACUCCGAUUGCGAAGGCAGCGUACCGGCAUCCAACUGACGCUGAGGCACGAAAGCGUGGGGAUCAAACAGG
This 253-nucleotide ribosomal RNA is filed under the name uncultured bacterium. RNAcentral describes it as "partial 16S ribosomal RNA". It matches the Rfam family "Bacterial small subunit ribosomal RNA", at positions 524 to 776 of the family's 1533-position model. The record is from RNAcentral.